Molecule: ribosomal RNA, 462 nt
Filed under: uncultured bacterium
Lineage: Bacteria
Description: bacterial SSU rRNA
Rfam family: Bacterial small subunit ribosomal RNA
Source: RNAcentral
GGGCCCGCACAAGCAGUGGAGUAUGUGGUUUAAUUCGAAGCAACGCGAAGAACCUUACCAGGGCUUGACAUCUACCGAAUCCCAAGAGAUUGGGAGUGCCUUCGGGAACGGUAAGACAGGUGGUGCAUGGUUGUCGUCAGCUCGUGUCGUGAGAUGUUGGGUUAAGUCCCGCAACGAGCGCAACCCUUAUUGUUAGUUGCCAUCAUUCAGUUGGGCACUCUAACAAGACUGCCGGUGACAAAUCGGAGGAAGGUGGGGACGACGUCAAAUCAUCAUGCCCCUUAUGUCCUGGGCUACACACGUACUACAAUGGCCGUUAACAAUGGGAAGCGAAAUCGCGAGGUGGAGCAAAUCCCCAAAAACGGUCCCAGUUCGGAUUGCAGGCUGAAACCCGCCUGCAUGAAGUUGGAAUUGCUAGUAAUCGCAAAUCAGCAUGUUGCGGUGAAUACGUUCCCGGGCCUU